Molecule: unclassified non-coding RNA, 377 nt
Filed under: plant metagenome
Description: partial contains 5.8S ribosomal RNA, internal transcribed spacer 2, and large subunit ribosomal RNA
Rfam family: 5.8S ribosomal RNA (bases 1-105)
Source: RNAcentral
GAAAUGCGAUAAGUAAUGUGAAUUGCAGAAUUCAGUGAAUCAUCGAAUCUUUGAACGCACCUUGCGCUCCUUGGUAUUCCUUGGAGCAUGCCUGUUUGAGUAUCAUGAAAUCUUCAAAGUAAAUCUUUUGUUAACUCAAUUGGUUUCUACUUUGGUAUUGGAGGUCUUUGCAGCUUCACACCUGCUCCUCUUUGUUCAUUAGCUGGAUCUCAGUGUUAUGCUUGGUUCCACUCGGCGUGAUAAGUUAUCUAUCGCUGAGGACACUGUAAAAGGUGGCCAAGGUAAAUGCAGAUGAACCGCUUCUAAUAGUCCUUGACUUGGACAAUACUUUUAUGAUCUGAUCUCAAAUCAGGUAGGACUACCCGCUGAACUUAAGC